Carassius gibelio (silver crucian carp) is the source of this 1509-nucleotide long non-coding RNA. RefSeq lists it as uncharacterized. The record is from RefSeq and is a predicted model, not a curated record. The transcript is spliced from 3 exons. NCBI's taxonomy places the organism in Eukaryota, Metazoa, Chordata, Actinopteri, Cypriniformes, Cyprinidae.
AUCAGAUAUACAGGUAAUACAAAAACGAAUAAAUUACCUCAUCCGUGAUCGUGAUUCGUUUAUCCAAUUUAGAUACAUUGCUAUGGUGAAAACGCAUUAAAAACGACAUCUCCCAUCGUCACCUGGUUCAUAGCGUCAUCAAGCUUUGCCUUUGUUAUUGUUGGAAAUGCGCCCUCUUGUGGUCAAUUACAAAAAUCGCAUAUUGCAUCUUUAAUUAGAUCACACAUCAUGUAAUUAAUUAGUUUUUAAAACAAUAUCAAUAAUAAUAUAUAUUAUUUAAUAUAUUUAUUUUCAUUGCUUUAAAACUGUUUUUCAGUAGGCCAAUUUUUCAAUAUUGACCUUUACUUUGACUCCCAAGUAGCUAAUCACAAGGGUAUCUGCUGGUCUUGUUAAUAUUUUGCCUAAAGUAGACGAAACGUCCCAGCAUGCCAUCUACAGACUUUGAUCUGUUCUGCUGAAGUUCCGUGAAGUUCCUGAUUACAAAGUAUAAAUCAGUACCAUGCAUGACUCAAGUGUGGACAGAACAGCUACAGUUAUAAGGGUAAAAAAAGACUGCAGAGACUGACAGAACGCUACAAAUCAGCAGGCAUAAAUCAUAUUCCAGCCAGCCAAGAAUAAACUGGGAUAUGGGAACUUCCAAAUAACAGAAAAACCUCAUUACAAAGGUCCACCACCACCCCUGAAUCAUUUUAACAUUAUGCCAGGAUAUCGCUGGGAUGGAGUUGACAGGUCCAAUGGUUUUGAGCAGAAGUGGUACAGCAGGAUAGCCGAUAAGAAAGCUGUCCAAGAGAUGGCAUACAAGUGUAAUGUGGAAGACAUGUAGCUACAGAUACGUAUUUAGAGAUUCAUGAUAUAAAAACUGAAAUGACUGAGAUGAGUACAGUUCAUCACUGCACCUGCACACACUGCAGUGGAACAUUUUUGUGUUCCAUCAAAAACCAAGAUGUUUGUGUGGAGUUGUCAGUCCUACUGUGUACAAGAAACAUACUUUUCUUUUCUUUUUUUUAACAAAUGUGUAUUGUCUUGAUUUUCAUCAGCGCCAUUUCAAAACCAACAAUUUUAGUUAACAGAACAAAUUCUACACUGAUUAAAUGAUGCAGCACACAUUAUUGUUUUUUUGUUUAGUUUUUUUUGUGAGAAUUUUUUUAUUAUUAUUACCGAUGUCGAAAACAGUUGUGCUGCUUAAUAUUUAUGUGGAAACUGUGUAAGAUAGACAAGAAAACAUUUUAGUUUUAGAACAACUUUGUAUAUAUAUGUGUACAUACAUAUGCUAUGUUUACAUUUUAAAUACAUUUAUAUUACAAUAAACAAAGUAUAUUAUAUAAACAGAGUUUCUAAAGAUAUGAAAUGUCAUGUAAUACAGGAGAAAGAUAAAAAGUAAAGCUGAAUAACACAAAUGCUUGAUUUAAAGAAGAUUUUUUAAUUAUUUAUGCAUCCAUUGUAUAAAUGAACUUUGACGGUUUUCUCUGGCCUUCAACUGUCAGCUACAGCUGUUCUUUCAAGACGGGC